Molecule: long non-coding RNA, 394 nt
Organism: Sinocyclocheilus grahami
Lineage: Eukaryota; Metazoa; Chordata; Actinopteri; Cypriniformes; Cyprinidae
Exons: 3
Source: RefSeq, a predicted model, not a curated record
UGCUGUGUCACAGACGAACACAGCGCGGGAGAGUUUGGCUGAAGUAACUGGAAAUGUUGCUUAGAAAUAUACAUUGUUAUUCAACACGUAUAGACAGGCUGUGAGUUAUUAAAGCUUUUAGAGGAAUAUGAAGUGCUGAAUGAAAUGCAGAGAGAGACAGCGCGACAUUCAUUUCAGCGUGAGCGGUUAAUGUGUGCUUUGUGCGUCGUUACGGAUGAAAGGAAGCUAUAAUGGGUGACAGGACUCUACCUGAAUGGAUGAACAAACCUCAGGAAGAACAUACACCAGGACCCUAUAAAAAGAGCAUUCUGGAGGAUGGUCUUCCUUAUCUGGAGUUUGGAGGAACAGUCAUAUACAGCCAGGAAAGACACGACUGCUCAUUUUUAUCAGAAGA